This 497-nucleotide ribosomal RNA is filed under the name uncultured bacterium. RNAcentral describes it as "partial 16S ribosomal RNA". It matches the Rfam family "Bacterial small subunit ribosomal RNA", at positions 28 to 507 of the family's 1533-position model. The record is from RNAcentral.
GAUGAACGCUGGCGGCGUGCCUAAUACAUGCAAGUCGAGCGAACAGACGAGGAGCUUGCUCCUCUGACGUUAGCGGCGGACGGGUGAGUAAAACGUGGAUAAACUACCUAUAAGACUGGGAUAACUUCGGGAAACAGGAGCUAAUACCGGAUAAUAUAUUGCACAGCAUGGUUCAAUAGUGAAAGACGGUUUUGCUGUCACUUAUAGAUGGAUCCGCGCCGGAUUAGCUAGUUGGGAAGGUAACGGCUUACCAAGGCAACGAUGCGUAGCCGACCUGAGAGCGUGAUCGGCCACACGGGAACUGAGACUCGGUCCAGACUCCUACGGGAGGCCACAGUAGGGAAUCUUCCGCAAUGGGGGAAAGCCUGACGGAGCAACGUCGCGUGAGUGAUGAAGGUCUUCGGAUCGUAAAACUCUGUUAUUAGGGAAGAACAAAUGUGUAAGUAACUAUGCACGUCUUGACGGUACCUAAGCAGAAAGCCACGGCUAACUACGUG